Long non-coding RNA from Brassica napus (rape), 1561 nucleotides. RefSeq lists it as uncharacterized. The record is from RefSeq and is a predicted model, not a curated record. Lineage: Eukaryota; Viridiplantae; Streptophyta; Magnoliopsida; Brassicales; Brassicaceae. The transcript is spliced from 7 exons.
UUUUAAUAAAUAUUUAAACUUAAUUAUAUUUUCUCUGUUUCAUAUUAAGUGUCAUUUUGACAUUUUUUACGCAGAUUAAGAAAAUUGUAUAAUAGAUAAUAUGUUCUUAUUUAAUGUGAUUAAUUAAAUGAAAAUAGUUUAAAUAAAGCUUAUUGGUUAUCCGAAAUGAUAUCUAUUAUUAUAAAACAAAGUUCUCUCACUCCUCAUGCCUCCACAUCAGCGGCCAGCUAGAUAAGUCGCUGCCUCUCAUCGCGACACGUCAGCCGACGAAACACGUCGUUUCAUUAAUACGGGAAUCUUGAUGGGCUUUCAAUUUGAGGCCUAAAGUCGCAUGAAGACAUAAAGCCUUGCCAGUAUCAAACCGCUGCGUUUUUUUUAUCAGGGUUACAAUGGCUUCAUAUGAAUCGGCUCUUGGACGCGUCGUUUAGGGUUCAUACAAAUCAGCCGUUUUCGACAUUAGAGAGAUUGUGAUUGUAGAUCGUGAUCAAGUCCUUUCGCCUUUCGUCAUAUGAAAUGUGUGUUAAGCUUUGUAAAAAGCGGUGCUUCCACAGUAUAAAUAGAAUCUGAAGCGAAGUGGUGAACUCAUGCGGCUGAACCUGCUCAUAGUCGAUUUGAAUGUCAAACGUGUUUUAUAUCGGUAUGUUGGACAUUUUAUUAGAUAUAGUAGUGUCCUCAUAUACUUAGCCUGAAGGUGAACUGUAUAUGUGUAUGUAUAUAGCUUGGUGCCAGAGACACUGGUCUCACACCAGCAGCACCACUCCUGAGAGAGAUUGCAAAAGUCGAGCCCGUAACCGUAGCUGAGCUCAAUAGCUUUGUCACCACUGCCGUGUCUGAGGAUAUUGAGUUCAUGUGCACCGGCACGGUUAUCCGGCCCGAUUCAGAGAAAGGAUGGUGUUACGUUGCUUGCUCUAAAUCUAGCAGGAAGCUCAAGCGCACUGAAUCUGCCUUUACAUCUACCGAAUGGAGCUUACAAUCGCUGAUGACACUGAUGAAGGUAUCUUUGUUUGUUUUGAUGGUGUAAUGACAAAGCUACAUGGUCUCGAAGCACAUGAAGCUGGCCAAAUUUUGGCUGAAGACGGUGUUACCCUGAGGACUCUCGGAUGCCUCUGUUUGUUACAGGCAUGCAAGGGAAGACGCACACUUUCCAUGUCAAGUUAACCACGUAUGAUUUCACAGCAAGACGUCAAAGCUUCACUGUCACCCGUAAUAUCAAUGAAUGUGAACAUCUGCCGCUUCCCGAUUUCGUCGAUAAUGGAGGAGAUGAUAACAAUGAUCAGAAAAUUCAUGCAGAGGUCGAAUCUAGGGGGGCAGUGGUGAAGCAGCUUUGAUUGCUGCUACAGAGCCAAUUGGUGCUAUGCUUAACAAGAUGGACGACCCAGCUUCGCAAGUUGUCAAGAAGAUAUAUAAUCAACAUAAUAUGUAUUUAAAUAAUGCUUAUGCAUGAUCUCUCCCGUUUUUCGUAUUCGAGAAUCUAUUUUCGGUUUUUUUCAUUAUUUGAAUACUCUAGGUUUGAGUCAGACAACCUAUCUAUUUUCUUAUUAUAAAGGAGUGAUUUAUCUUA